AACGAACGCUGGCGGCAUGCCUAACACAUGCAAGUCGAACGAGACCUUCGGGUCUAGUGGCGCACGGGUGCGUAACGCGUGGGAAUCUGCCCUUGGGUUCGGAAUAACAGUUAGAAAUGACUGCUAAUACCGGAUAAUGUCUUCGGACCAAAGAUUUAUCGCCCAGGGAUGAGCCCGCGUAGGAUUAGCUAGUUGGUGCGGUAAAGGCUCACCAAGGCGACGAUCGAUAGCUGUUCUGAGAGGAAGAUCAGCCACACUGGGACUGAGACACGGCCCAGACUCCUACGGGAGGCAGCAGUUGGGAAUCUUGGACAAUGGGGGAAACCCUGAUCCAGCCAUGCCGCGUGAGUGAUGAAGGCCUUCGGGUUGUAAAACUCUUUCGCGCACGACGAUAAUGACGGUAGUGCGAGAAGAAGCUCCGGCUAACUUCGUGCCAGCAGCCGCGGUAAU
Molecule: ribosomal RNA, 450 nt
Filed under: uncultured bacterium
Lineage: Bacteria
Description: bacterial SSU rRNA
Rfam family: Bacterial small subunit ribosomal RNA
Source: RNAcentral